CGGGGUGGCUGUUAAUAUGCGCGGCUAUUCCCUUGAUUGAUGCAUAUUUUUAAUAGGAGUUACACAAUGUCUCUGACUGUAGAGCAAAAGGCUGAAAUCGUAGCCAAGUACGCCCGUGGCGAG
Molecule: regulatory RNA element, 123 nt
Organism: Endozoicomonas sp.
Lineage: Bacteria; Pseudomonadati; Pseudomonadota; Gammaproteobacteria; Oceanospirillales; Endozoicomonadaceae
Rfam family: Ribosomal S15 leader
About the family: The E. coli Ribosomal S15 gene 5' UTR can form two alternative structures. One that is a series of three hairpins, The other includes a pseudoknot.
Source: Rfam